UACGUAGGGUGCGAGCGUUAAUCGGAAUUACUGGGCGUAAAGCGUGCGCAGGCGGUUCGCCAAGUCAGGUGUGAAAUCCCCGGGCUUAACCUGGGAAUUGCGCUUGAAACUAGCGGGCUUGAGUGUGGCAGAGGGGGGUGGAAUUCCACGUGUAGCAGUGAAAUGCGUAGAGAUGUGGAGGAACACCGAUGGCGAAGGCAGCCCCCUGGGGUAACACUGACGCUCAUGCACGAGAGCGUGGGGAGCAAACAGG
This 253-nucleotide ribosomal RNA is filed under the name uncultured bacterium. Its description in RNAcentral is "partial 16S ribosomal RNA". It matches the Rfam family "Bacterial small subunit ribosomal RNA", at positions 524 to 776 of the family's 1533-position model. The record is from RNAcentral.